This 642-nucleotide ribosomal RNA is filed under the name uncultured Porphyromonadaceae bacterium. RNAcentral describes it as "bacterial SSU rRNA". It matches the Rfam family "Bacterial small subunit ribosomal RNA", at positions 75 to 715 of the family's 1533-position model. The record is from RNAcentral. Lineage: Bacteria; Pseudomonadati; Bacteroidota; Bacteroidia; Bacteroidales; Porphyromonadaceae.
AGCAAUACAACUGGUGGCGACCGGCGCACGGGUGAGUAACGCGUAUGCAACCCAUCUAUCAGAGGGGAAUAACCCGGCGAAAGUCGGACUAACUCCGCAUAAAACAGGGACACCGCAUGGUGAUAUUUGUUAAAGAAAUUCGCUGAUAGAUGGGCAUGCGUUCCAUUAGGUAGUUGGUGAGGUAACGGCUCACCAAGCCGACGAUGGAUAGGGGAACUGAGAGGUUGGUCCCCCACACUGGUACUGAGACACGGACCAGACUCCUACGGGAGGCAGCAGUGAGGAAUAUUGGUCAAUGGGCGAGAGCCUGAACCAGCCAAGUCGCGUGAAGGAAGAAGGAUCUAUGGUUCGUAAACUUCUUUUGCAGGGGAAUAAAGUGCAGGACGUGUCCUGUUUUGUAUGUACCCUGAGAAUAAGGAUCGGCUAACUCCGUGCCAGCAGCCGCGGUAAUACGGAGGAUCCGAGCGUUAUCCGGAUUUAUUGGGUUUAAAGGGUGCGUAGGUGGUUUGAUAAGUCAGCGGUGAAAGUUUGCAGCUUAACUGUAAAAAUGCCGUUGAAACUGUCGGACUUGAGUGUAAAUGAGGUAGGCGGAAUGCGUGGUGUAGCGGUGAAAUGCUUAGAUAUCACGAAGAACUCCGAUUG